UUUACAAUGGAGAGUUUGAUCCUGGCUCAGGAUGAACGCUAGCUACAGGCUUAACACAUGCAAGUCGAGGGGAAACGACAUCGAAAGCUUGCUUUUGAUGGGCGUCGACCGGCGCACGGGUGAGUAACGCGUAUCCAACCUGCCCAUCACUUGGGGAUAACCUUGCGAAAGUAAGACUAAUACCCAAUGAUAUCUCUAGAAGGCAUCUGAAAGAGAUUAAAGAUUUAUCGGUGAUGGAUGGGGAUGCGUCUGAUUAGCUUGU
RNAcentral lists this ribosomal RNA (262 nucleotides) under Segatella copri. Its description in RNAcentral is "Prevotella copri partial 16S ribosomal RNA". It matches the Rfam family "Bacterial small subunit ribosomal RNA", at positions 1 to 249 of the family's 1533-position model. The record is from RNAcentral. Lineage: Bacteria; Pseudomonadati; Bacteroidota; Bacteroidia; Bacteroidales; Prevotellaceae.